GUGAAGGUUUUCCCAGUAACCCCAGGAAAAUAACUCUCCAUCACUGUGAUUUCAUAUUGUUUUGUUCAUACCCCUAAACAUACCACUGAUUUUAUAUUGUGGCUAUUCCCCUGUCUCCUCCCAUUAAACCACAGGCUCUUCAAGAGUCAGGUCCUGGAAUCUGCAGCCUCUAGAACUUCUAUGGCAUUUAUCUUAAAAAUAAAUGCCUUAGAAGUUAAAUACUUAAGUAGUUUUAGGUCAAACUGGAAUUUAUUCACAUUGUAAACUUUUGUCCAUAUGUUCAAUUUUGGAUUGCAGUAAUGGAAAUGGUACCUGGCUUUGCUAGGGCUACCCUGUUAUAGUCA
This 344-nucleotide long non-coding RNA is filed under the name Bos taurus (domestic cattle). RNAcentral's name for it is "long non-coding RNA NONBTAT004917". Lineage: Eukaryota; Metazoa; Chordata; Mammalia; Artiodactyla; Bovidae. The record is from RNAcentral.